RNAcentral lists this ribosomal RNA (492 nucleotides) under uncultured bacterium. RNAcentral's name for it is "partial 16S ribosomal RNA". It matches the Rfam family "Bacterial small subunit ribosomal RNA", at positions 29 to 507 of the family's 1533-position model. The record is from RNAcentral.
AGUGAACGCUGGCGGUAGGCCUAACACAUGCAAGUCGAACGGCAGCACAGUAAGAGCUUGCUCUUACGGGUGGCGAGUGGCGGACGGGUGAGGAAUACAUCGGAAUCUACUUUUUCGUGGGGGAUAACGUAGGGAAACUUACGCUAAUACCGCAUACGACCUACGGGUGAAAGCAGGGGAUCUUCGGACCUUGCGCGAUUGAAUGAGCCGAUGUCGGAUUAGCUAGUUGGCGGGGUAAAGGCCCACCAAGGCGACGAUCCGUAGCUGGUCUGAGAGGAUGAUCAGCCACACUGGAACUGAGACACGGUCCAGACUCCUACGGGAGGCAGCAGUGGGGCAUAUUGGACAAUGGGCGCAAGCCUGAUCCAGCCAUACCGCGUGGGUGAAGAAGGCCUUCGGGUUGUAAAGCCCUUUUGUUGGGAAAGAAAAGCAGCAGGUUAAUACCCCGCUGUUCUGACGGUACCCAAAGAAUAAGCACCGGCUAACUUCGUG